UAAGGAGGCAAUUAUGUCUAAUGGGACGCA
Molecule: non-coding RNA, 30 nt
Filed under: Rattus norvegicus (Norway rat)
Lineage: Eukaryota; Metazoa; Chordata; Mammalia; Rodentia; Muridae
Source: RNAcentral